RNAcentral lists this long non-coding RNA (1604 nucleotides) under Aquilegia coerulea. Its description in RNAcentral is "long non-coding RNA (ACOE_LNC001842)". Lineage: Eukaryota; Viridiplantae; Streptophyta; Magnoliopsida; Ranunculales; Ranunculaceae. The record is from RNAcentral.
AUAUCACAAGAAAUAUCCACACUAAUUAACAACAAUAAACAAAAUAAAAAGAAGAAAAAAACUUGACUAGAGAAAACCUUUCUUCUUCUCACUCUUCACUCCUUGGUUCACAUCUCACAACCCUAAUUCUCUCUUCUUUUCCACUUUUUUUUUUUUUCUCUUUUCAUUAUGCCAAUUCAAGUAAACAGAACCUAGAACCUACGCUACUGCUGAUUGUAGUUACCUCAAUUGCUUCAAAUUGACUCGAAUACAUCUCUGAAUCUGUAAGUAUUCUCUUAUAAUUCUUUUUUGGUUUCUUUUCAUUGUAGUAAAUUAAAUUUAUUGGUUUGAUAUGCGAAUUGGGGUUUUCGGCUUUUAAGUAACAGGUGUAUGGUUUCAUGUGUAAUGAUAAAUUUCAUGAUUUGAGUUUGUGAUUUGUUUUUUUUUUUUCUAUUUGGGAUGCAAUUUCAUCUUCAAUGGUCUUUUCUGACCCUCUCUCUAAAAAAAUGUAUAUUUUAUCAGUUUAGAGAUUGUAAUUGUGUUAAUCCUCAAUGAGUUUGUCGGAAAUCUGUUAAUCCAAUGAAUUGGCUUUUAUAUUUCUAAACCAUGCCUCCUUGAUAUGAUGCAACUCCAUUUGUGCCUUUGACUCUGUCAUAUGCAACAUUACAUUGAAUAAUAAUUAAGUUAGGAUCCAAAAUAGUUGUCGCAACUUCUAGAAAACACAUUUUUCAUGCUAUUAUGAUUCUCACACAAACCAUAUUACGGAGCAUGAAAUUCACAAUUGUUACUUUGCCGUCUGUGUCCGACUUUUUAAAAUUAGAUUUUUUAUUUGAGCGAAAAUCUAAUCCCUUAAAGCAUUAUAUUAUCAGUUAAAUGUUACAUAUUGUGGUUGAAAUUACAGUUGAUUGUGUUCCAAGUUUCUUGUACCUGAACAUGCAAAUUUGUUAUCAAGGCAUGUAGGAAAUGUUGUUUUGUGCUAUUGAUCUUCUUGACAAGCAUAUUAAGCUUUUGUUUCUUCUUGUCCUUGCUUUUAGAUUUUUUUUGUUUUUUUUUGAUAAUAAAUAGUAAUUUUAUAAAUUCUCUAUCACCGUAAGUACAAACUGUUCAACAUGCAUUCUGUAAAUAUGCCCGCAGUAAACUACCCAAGAGGACAUCCCCUCUUUUUACAAUUAAAACUGAAUAUGAUAGGACCCACCCUCCUGCUGCACACCCUUAUGUAAAGUGCAGACACAACUAAGACCAUUGCUAGUAUACAAGUGGUGCUCCAUAUUGAAGAAAAGAAAAGAAAAAAUGCAGCAGCAGAGACCCCAAGCUGAAUCGAAGCUUCAAGAUUACUCACUUGUUAUAUACAUGUUUGAAAUUUUUAGAUGAAGACUUGUAUUUGAUUGAUUCUAAUAUUAUAAAUCUGCAAGAGAUAAAAUUGUACAUGUUAUUGAGAUGAAGUGCAACUGAGACCCUAUUUGCAUGGAGAAGCUUAAAUUUAAAUUAGAAAAUAAGCCUAACUGAUGCUUUUUGAUUUAUCUAUUGUUUAUCAAAAUUAAUGUGAGAUAUCCUUGUAUAAUUUUUUUUGUAUUUUUUUUUCCUUAUAGCACGCGAAAGAUUGUAAUGAGUCUUGUAUGAGUGAU